GGUCAAGCUACAAAGGGCGCAUGGUGAAUGCCUUGGCAUCAGGAGCCGAUGAAGGACGUGAUAAGCUGCGAUAAGCUUCGGGUAGGCGCACAUAGCCUGAGAUCCGAAGAUCUCCGAAUGAGGAAACUCACAUGGGAAACCCCAUGUAUCAUUAAGUGAAUACAUAGCUUAAUGAAGGUAACCCAGGGAACUGAAACAUCUAAGUACCUGGAGGAAGAGAAAGAAAAAUCGAUUUUCUUAGUAGCGGCGAGCGAAAGGGAAAGAGCCCAAACCGGAAACUUGUUUCCGGGGUUGUGGACAUAGCAUGAAAGUGGAGGCUAUUGUAACUGAAGAGAACUGGAAAGUUCCACCGUAGAAGGUAAUAGUCCUGUAAGUGAAACGAGAAGACCACGAGUUAUGAUCCAGAGUACCACGAGACACGUGAAACCUUGUGGGAAGCAGGGAGGACCACCUCCCAAGGCUAAAUACUACCUGAUGACCGAUAGUGAAGCAGUACCGUGAGGGAAAGGUGAAAAGAACCCCGGGAGGGGAGUGAAAUAGAACCUGAAACCGUGUGCCUACAACCGCUCAGAGCCCCUUAUGAGGGUGAUGAGGUGCUUUUUGUAGAACGAGCCAACGAGUUACGGUAUGUAGCAAGGUUAAGUACUUAAGGUACGGAGCCGAAGGGAAACCGAGUCUGAAUAGGGCGACUAGUUGCAUGCCGUAGACCCGAAACCGGGUGACCUAUCCAUGGCCAGGUUGAAGCGAGGGUAAAACCUCGUGGAGGACCGAACCACGUUGCUGUUGAAAAAGCAUGGGAUGAGCUGUGGAUAGCGGAGAAAUUCCAAUCGAACCCGGAGAUAGCUGGUUCUCUCCGAAAUAGCUUUAGGGCUAGCGUCGAGUAUGAGUAGUGGAGGUAGAGCACUGAAUGGGCUAGGGGGCAUAGCGCUUACCGAACCUUAUCAAACUCCGAAUGCCACAUACUUUGAGCUCGGCAGUCAGACUACGAAUGAUAAGAUCCGUGGUCAAAAGGGAAACAGCCCAGAUCGUCAGCUAAGGUCCCAAAGUGUAAGUUAAGUGGGAAAGGAUGUGAGAUUUCUAAGACAACUAGGAUGUUGGCUUAGAAGCAGCCAUUCAUUAAAAGAGUGCGUAAUAGCUCACUAGUCGAGAGAUCUUGCGCCGAAAAUGUAACGGGGCUAAACUUACCACCGAAGCUACGGGCUUGAACUUAGUUCAAGCGGUAGGAGAGCGUCGUAACCGGGCUGAAGUCGUACCGUAAGGAGCGGUGGACUGGUUACGAGUGAGAAUGUUGGCAUCAGUAGCGAGAUGUGGGUGAGAAUCCCACAGGCCGAAAACCUAAGGUUUCCUCAGGAAGGUUCGUCCGCUGAGGGUUAGUCGGGACCUAAGCCGAGGCCGAAAGGCGUAGGUGAUGGACAACUGGUUGAUAUUCCAGUACCACUACCAUCGUUAUUAUCGAUGGCGUGACGCAGGAGGAUAGUGUGUGCUAGCUAUUGGAUGCUAGUCUAAGCGUUUAGGCAGUGAGAGUAGGCAAAUCCGCUCUCAUAAUGCUGAGGCGUGAUGGGGAAGGUUCCACGGAACCGAAGUACAUGAUUCCACGCUGCCAAGAAAAGCGUCUAGAGAGAGAAGUAGUGCCCGUACCGCAAACCGACACAGGUAGGUGAGGAGAGAAUCCUAAGGCCGGCGGAAGAAUUACAGUUAAGGAACUCGGCAAAUUGACCCCGUAAGUUCGCGAGAAGGGGUGCCUACGAGAGUAGGCCGCAGAGAAUAGGCCCAAGCAACUGUUUAGCAAAAACACAGGUCUCUGCUAAAGCGUAAGCUGAUGUAUAGGGGCUGACGCCUGCCCGGUGCUGGAAGGUUAAGGGGAACACUUAGCGCAAGCGAAGGUGUGAACUUAAGCCCCAGUAAACGGCGGCCGUAACUAUAACGGUCCUAAGGUAGCGAAAUUCCUUGUCAGGUAAGUUCUGACCCGCACGAAUGGCGUAAUGACUUGGGCACUGUCUCAACUGUAAAUCCGGCGAAGUUGUAGUGCGAGUGAAGAUGCUCGCUACCCGCGAUUGGACGGAAAGACCCCGUAGAGCUUUACUGUAGCUUAGCAUUGAGUUUUGGUAUUGUCUGUACAGGAUAGGUGGGAGACUAGGAAACCAGGGCGUCAGCCUUGGUGGAGUCAACCUUGGGAUACCACCCUGACAGUACUGAAAUUCUAACUGGCGGCCAUGAAUCUGGUCACAGGACAUUGUUAGGUGGGCAGUUUGACUGGGGCGGUCGCCUCCUAAAAAGUAACGGAGGCGCCCAAAGGUUCCCUCAGAACGGUCGGAAAUCGUUCGAAGAGUGCAAAGGCAGAAGGGAGCCUGACUGCGACACCCACAAGUGGAGCAGGGACGAAAGUCGGGCUUAGUGAUCCGGUGGUACCUCGUGGGAGGGCCAUCGCUCAACGGAUAAAAGCUACCUCGGGGAUAACAGGCUGAUCUCCCCCAAGAGUCCACAUCGACGGGGAGGUUUGGCACCUCGAUGUCGGCUCGUCGCAUCCUGGGGCUGAAGUAGGUCCCAAGGGUUGGGCUGUUCGCCCAUUAAAGCGGCACGCGAGCUGGGUUCAGAACGUCGUGAGACAGUUCGGUCCCUAUCCGUCGCGGGCGUAGGAAAUUUGAGAGGAGCUGUCCUUAGUACGAGAGGACCGGGAUGGACUGACCUCUGGUGUACCAGUUGUUCCGCCAGGAGCACAGCUGGGUAGCUAAGUCGGGAAUGGAUAAACGCUGAAAGCAUCUAAGCGUGAAGCCAACCUCAAGAUGAGAUUUCCCAUAGCGUAAGCUAGUAAGAUCCCUUGAAGAACACAAGGUUGAUAGGUCGGGGGUGUAAGCAUGGUAACAUGUUCAGCUGACCGAUACUAAUAGAUCGAGGGCUUGACCAA
Molecule: ribosomal RNA, 2905 nt
Filed under: Clostridium perfringens
Lineage: Bacteria; Bacillati; Bacillota; Clostridia; Eubacteriales; Clostridiaceae
Also listed under: 2 other names
Description: 23S ribosomal RNA
Rfam family: Bacterial large subunit ribosomal RNA
Source: RNAcentral